This 329-nucleotide unclassified non-coding RNA is filed under the name soil metagenome. RNAcentral describes it as "partial contains 5.8S ribosomal RNA, internal transcribed spacer 2, and large subunit ribosomal RNA". The stretch from base 1 to 120 matches the Rfam family "5.8S ribosomal RNA", at positions 35 to 154 of the family's 154-position model. The record is from RNAcentral.
GAUGAAGAACGUAGCGAAAUGCGAUAAGUAGUGUGAAUUGCAGAAUUCAGUGAAUCAUCGAAUCUUUGAACGCACAUUUCGCCCCUUGGUAUCCCGAGGGGCAUGCCUGUUCGAGCGUCAUUUCACCACUCAAGCCUGGCUUGGUGUUGGGCGACGUCCUCUUUGGGGACGCGCCUCGAAACGCUCGGCGGCGUGGCACCGGCUUUAAGCGUAGCAGAAUCUUUCGCUUUGGAAGUCGGGGCCCCGUCUGCCGGAAGACCUGCUCGCAAGGUUGACCUCGGAUCAGGCAGGGAUACCCGCUGAACUUAAGCAUAUCAAUAAGCGGAGGA